This 603-nucleotide ribosomal RNA is filed under the name Phytophthora citricola. RNAcentral's name for it is "eukaryotic LSU rRNA". The stretch from base 81 to 235 matches the Rfam family "5.8S ribosomal RNA". Lineage: Eukaryota; Oomycota; Peronosporomycetes; Peronosporales; Peronosporaceae. The record is from RNAcentral.
UAGUAGCUUUUUGUUUUAAACCCAUUCUACAAUACUGAUUAUACUGUGGGGACGAAAGUCUCUGCUUUUAACUAGAUAGCAACUUUCAGCAGUGGAUGUCUAGGCUCGCACAUCGAUGAAGAACGCUGCGAACUGCGAUACGUAAUGCGAAUUGCAGGAUUCAGUGAGUCAUCGAAAUUUUGAACGCAUAUUGCACUUCCGGGUUAGUCCUGGGAGUAUGCCUGUAUCAGUGUCCGUACAUCAAACUUGGCUUUCUUCCUUCCGUGUAGUCGGUGGAGGAUGUGCCAGAUGUGAAGUGUCUUGCGGGUGUCCUUCGGGUCGUCUGCGAGUCCUUUGAAAUGUACUGAACUGUACUUCUCUUUGCUCGAAAAGCGUGGUGUUGCUGGUUGUGGAGGCUGCCUGCGUGGCCAGUCGGCGACCGGUUUGUCUGCUGCGGCGUUUAAUGGAGGAGUGUUCGAUUCGCGGUAUGGUUGGCUUCGGCUGAACAGGCGCUUAUUGUAUGCUUUUCCUGCUGUGGCGUGAUGGGCUGGUGAACCGUAGCUGUGUGUGGCUUGGCUUUUGAAUCGGCUUUGCUGUUGUUUUUAGAGUGACGGCUUCGGCUGU